This is a long non-coding RNA of Bos taurus (domestic cattle), 963 nucleotides long. The record is from Ensembl. Lineage: Eukaryota; Metazoa; Chordata; Mammalia; Artiodactyla; Bovidae.
GAGAAGGGGGAGGGAGGGCAGGCAGGCUUGGCUUUAUUGGCUCAGUGCUGUUGCCAAGGGCCCAGGUUCCUUCCAUCUUCGUGCUCUGUGAGUCUCUGCUCCACCUCUAGACUGCGUCCUCAGACACAUCAUAGUUCAGCAGGAUAAGAGCAGGACAGCAGCUCUGCGAAGAGCCAGGAAACCAUACCUCCAAGUCCCUCAACAGCACGGCUCCAGCAUUCCAUCAGUUAGAAUCAUGUCAGGGAAUUAACGUGGAGAUUAGCAAAGGAAGGGACCUGCCACAAUUGUCUCCCAGGAGCUGGGAGUGGGGCUGUCCUCUUCUGAGUCUCGGAAAUGGCAGAGAGGAGCAGAGCAGCGUUGUAAUUGUCACCAGCAAGAAGAGGCAGAUGGGGACCUACUGGAGUAACUGGUACCAGAUCCCAGGAAGGCUGAGAGUCCCUUAACAUCCCCAGGAAUGGGACAGAGUAACAUCAUAUACCUCCUGAUAUGCUACUCUGAGAUGAACCCAGCAUCACCUUUGGGGUACCCCAGCCAAGACUGUACAGCAUAAAUCAUCAUAAGGAAACAUCAGACAAACCUGAAAUGAGGAAGAGAAUAUCGAAGAGGAAACGGGUUUCUGUAGUGCUUGGCUCACACUCCUCGAUGUGGCUUAUGUUACAGCUAAUUGUGUGAACUAAGACAUUCAUCCCCCAACCCAGGUGGAAGGUGGCGACUACACACUGAGGAAAAGCACUUAGAUCCCAGACCGGUUGGAACCACAAGGCUGAUGAUUGAGACUCCUGAAAUAUCGCCCUGUUACCUCCUCACCACCAACCAAUCAGAAGAAAAUCAUGCACCCUACAGCCAUCACCCCAAACAUUGCAUUUAAAAAGCCUUCCCUGGGGGGACACAUUUUUUUUGAGAGGCAGGAGCCUGCUUUGUCCUCCUUUGCCUGCCAAAGCAAUAAAGAUAUUCAAAUACUUC